GUCGGUGCGUGUGCGGAUACGAGAGGGGAAAGGGAGGGAGUGAGGCCCACUCGAUCGAUACAACACAACCACGUCGGCGUCUUCGGAAACGAGAAGGUGGUCAGGUAGGUAGGUAAGGUGGCCCUCCUCUCGUCCUGGAGAGGAAGGAAAAGGGAGGAGGAGACGCGAGGAUCCAAUCCUCCUCCCCGAAAAGUUUCCUCUCUCGUUUUCUCUUUCAGGAACGUAUGGGGUUGUUCCGUUGGGCGACGACGGAAAAAGAGGGAGAGGGGAGGGGAGGGGGGAAGAGAGAGAGGUGGGAGAGACGAAAGAACAAUAGAAGUCGGGUCGGUUGCUCUCGUCUCGUCUCGGCUCGGCUCGUCUCUCUCCACCUGGCUUUGUAGCCUGUCGUUCGUCCCUCCCCUCGAUCGGUUCCUUCCUGCCGCCCGUACACCCUAGAGUUACUGAGCGGCCGCCGGCUGCGCGGCGGCGACAGGGGCAGGCAGCUGCUGAGGCCGCGGAGGAGGAGCAGCCGGCGGCGCCACCAGCUCUAUGGGCUGCUGCGGCUGCUGCUGAGGCGGCUCCGGCAGCAGUGCGCGGUCAAGAAGGGGGGCCGGCGGGGCCCGCUCCCGCGGCGGCCCUUGCCGGCGCGCCGCACCGAGGCGGACCGGCCGCGGGGGCGCGGGCGGCACCGGCGGCGUCGUCGGCGCCGGCGGCCUCCUCCUCAGCCUCCGGGGCGCCGCAGCCGCCGCCGGUUCUUCUCGGCCGCGCCCGGCGCCAGCGCGUCGAGCGUCAUGGCGCCGCAGUGGAAGAUGGCGGCCUGCCCCGCCACCCUCAGCGUGUAUACCAUUCAAGGAGGAAGGGCGGGCGGCGGCAGAGAAAGGAAAGGAAAGGAAAGGAAAGGAAAGAACUCUCGAAUUCCUUCCUCUUCCUCUCUCUCGCGACGUCGUCAACGUCGUCGUCGUCGUCGUCGUUUUCUUCUCUUCUCUUUUCUUCUACCCAAACCAUAACCUAAGCAGAACAAAACCCGUAAGGUACGGAGACGAGGAAAACGGAAAGUAUCGUUGCAGGUAGAAUAGUUUGAAUAAGAGGAGGGAAGGAAGGAAGGAAGGAAGGCACAAAGAGAGAGAGAAGAGAGGAGAGGAGAAUAGAAGAGAAGAGUGCGCGAGUAGAGAGAGGGGGUAAGAAAACGCGUUACGUCCCUAACGCCGUUCGUCCAGAUAGACCCACCUAAGCUGUGACGAGUACGCCGCCGAGCCCGCAUGCUAGCCCGCCGCUAGUUCAAGGCGCCGUACCUCCGGCUGUAGUUGAAGUCGGACCUCCUAAUGCUGCUGUAGUUCGUCUACCCGUUGGACUGGUUCCUCCUCAAGCAGGUGCACGAGGCCGCGGUCUCGUGCCCCAAGGGGGCCCCGUCGAGGUUCAUGUCCCCGCAGUGGGAGGUGUUCACGCCGUCCACCCUCCGCGCCUACCCGGUCAAGGAGCCGUUCUUCAUGCAGAUGAACCCCGACAAGCUGUGGCUCCUCCUUCGGCGGUCCAGCAUGCUGGCGCGACGGUAGUUCACGUUGCCGUUCCUACGCCACUGUUUGAAGCUAGGGUCGUGGAUGCGGCUCCUCAAGCUCGGGCGCCGAAGCUGGCCGCUGCGCCUCGUCUUGGACCUGGACAGCGACCCCUCGAGCCCCCCGAGGUUGUUCUCCCCGUCGGAGCUGCCGCCGCCUCCGCCGCUGCUGCUGCCGCGCCGGCCCAGGCUGGUCGCGCAGGGGUACCGGAAGCUCGAGCUGACCGUCUGCCGCCGCCGCCGCCGCCGCCGUGCCUCGUGGUUCCGGUUCAAGCUGGUCUUGAACUGCGUAGUGGUCUACGGGGGAGGCCGGGACGUUCGGAGGGUGUACGGGAAGUCAGGGUCCGUGGUGGUUAAGUACCCGUUGCCGCUAGGCCCCUGGCGCCCUCCGGACAGCGACUGCCAGCCGCGGCGGCCGCCCCCGCCCGUGACCGGAGGCGGAGACGUGGUGGUUAUGGUCGGCGGCGGCGGCGGAGGCGUCGUCGUCGUCGGCGUCGUCUCCGACGUGCCGACCCCGUUGCAGCAGGGGCCGUGCUCGACCGUCGGCGGAGUCGGCGGCGGCGUGGUGGUCCGCCCCGGCGGCGGCUUGUUGCGACGGCGGCGGCGGCGUCGUCGACGUCGUAGUAGUGCUAAGGGUGGGAUGUAGCGGCGCGUCCGCGUCUCGACCGAGGUCUUCUUGCCGAAGGUGAGGGACCGGGCUGGGUGGAUCGAACGGUCUCUCUGGUAGUUCUGGUCGAGGUGGCGCGCGGCGGAAGUAGGUAGUAGGUACCGCUUCUAGCUGGCUGUCCACACACACACACAAGGUGACUUCGUCCGCUCUAGUGCCUCCUUGGUGUUGGUACGUACGUAAUGGUGGUGUUGACUUGGCUUUGGCUUUGACUUUGACCUACGAUCAUAAGAAAAAGGUAAAGAACAAUAAAAAAGAACUAACUCACUCUACCUAAACUCUCCUGCCUACCUACACCAGUACAUUUACGCCUCAAGGGGUUCUUCUGCUAGCUCUAACCAAGAUGAGAUCGAAGAUCAUCGAGAUCGAUCGAAAGUUGAGUUCACAGCUCACACAAACACACACACCACCUCAUAGAAAACCACGAAGAGCAACGUAUGGUACCGGUUGUCGCUACUGAGCCCCCCCUAAGGUGUAGUGUCGAGUAAAACAAACCAGAGUACAACGUAGUGAGUGACGUACUACUCUAA
Molecule: ribosomal RNA, 2728 nt
Filed under: Triticum aestivum (bread wheat)
Lineage: Eukaryota; Viridiplantae; Streptophyta; Magnoliopsida; Poales; Poaceae
Description: partial small subunit ribosomal RNA
Source: RNAcentral